UACGUAGGGGGCAAGCGUUGUCCGGAAUCAUUGGGCGUAAAGCGCGUGUAGGCGGUCCGGUAAGUCCGCUGUGAAAGUCGGGGGCUUAACCCUCGGAUGCCGGUGGAUACUGUCGGGCUUGAGUACGGAAGAGGCGAGUGGAAUUCCUGGUGUAGCGGUGAAAUGCGCAGAUAUCAGGAGGAACACCAAUUGCGAAGGCAGCUCGCUGGGACGUUACUGACGCUGAGGAGCGAAAGCGUGGGGAGCGAACAGG
This 253-nucleotide ribosomal RNA is filed under the name uncultured bacterium. RNAcentral describes it as "partial 16S ribosomal RNA". It matches the Rfam family "Bacterial small subunit ribosomal RNA", at positions 524 to 776 of the family's 1533-position model. The record is from RNAcentral.